This 301-nucleotide ribosomal RNA is filed under the name uncultured bacterium. RNAcentral's name for it is "partial 16S ribosomal RNA". It matches the Rfam family "Bacterial small subunit ribosomal RNA", at positions 509 to 807 of the family's 1533-position model. The record is from RNAcentral.
CAGUCGCCGCGGUAAUACGAAGGGUGCAAGCGUUAACCGGAAUUACUGGGCGUAAAGCGUGCGUAGGCGGUUUGUUAAGUCUGUUGUGAAAUCCCCGGGCUCAACCUGGGAAUGGCAAUGGAUACUGGCAAGCUAGAGUGUGUCAGAGGAUGGUGGAAUUCCCGGUGUAGCAGUGAAAUGCGUAGAGAUGUGGAAGAACACCGAUGGCGAAGGCAGCCCCCUGGGCCAAUACUGACGCUCAUGCACGAAAGCGUGGGGAGCAAACAGGAUUAGAUACCCCUGUAGUCCCUGUCUCUUAUAC